AAAAUCAUAAUGAGAGAAGGUGAAGUGAAAGAAGGAUUACCCGAAGUUGCUCAAACCCAGCAACCCAUGCGUCAGACGGCUAACUACCGUCCAAGAUACCACCGACCUAUGAAUCAAACAAGACCACUUCCACCAACUGGUGAGAUUGAAAACAAGGAAAACCAGUUUGAGUCAGUGGCCCCAGACCAGCAACAAAAUCGCUGAGGCUUCAGAAGACCAUACAACUACAGGCAUCGACCCAACCAACCAAGUGGUCCACCACAGGGGAAGAAGGAGUCAACCAAGUUGGCUGAAACCCCAAAAGAGAAGCCUUGCACAGUGGGUGAGAAAAGCAAUGCUGUGUAAUCUGAGUGACCUGAUCUUCCAUCAUGCAUAAUGUGAGCUGAGAAAGGAUGGACAUCAUGACAGUUGCCAAUUAAUUGGGAGAGAUGACAGAUACAUCUCCUAUGCUCCUCAGUUUGGAUUUCACAACAAAAGUACACUCAUAUUUUGUGUUCAUGCAUGCAUAUGUCAGGGGCAAAUUCAAAUGAUAGUUUAAAGAUGUUACUUACCUGAAGUCUGCUUCCUCUUAGGCGUUCUGUGUUUGUGUACUCUUACAAUGCUG
This is a non-coding RNA of Pelobates cultripes (western spadefoot toad), 604 nucleotides long. The record is from the annotation of a GenBank genome assembly. NCBI's taxonomy places the organism in Eukaryota, Metazoa, Chordata, Amphibia, Anura, Pelobatidae.